RNAcentral lists this ribosomal RNA (468 nucleotides) under uncultured bacterium. RNAcentral's name for it is "partial 16S ribosomal RNA". It matches the Rfam family "Bacterial small subunit ribosomal RNA", at positions 28 to 507 of the family's 1533-position model. The record is from RNAcentral.
GACGAACGCUGGCGGCGUGCUUAACACAUGCAAGUCGAACGGAAAGGCCAUGCUUUUGUGGGGUGCUCGAGUGGCGAACGGGUGAGUAAAACGUGAGUAACAUGCCCUUGACUUUGGGAUAACUUCAGGAAACUGGGGCUAAUACAGGAUAGGAGCUCCUGCUGCAUGGUGGGGGUUGGAAAGAUUCGGCGGUUGGGGAUGGAAUCGCGGCUUAUCAGCUUGUUGGUGGGGUAGGGGCUUACCAAGGCUUUGACGGGUAGCCGGCCUGAGAGGGUGACCGGCCUCAAUGGUACUGAGGGACGGCGCAGUCUCCUACGGGACGCAACAGUGGGGAACAUUGCACAAUGGGCGGGAGCCUGAUGCAGCAGUCCCGCGUUCGGGAAACUGGCCUACUGGUGGAAAACCGCUGUCUCCGUUGACGAACCCGGCUUGACGGUAAUUGGUAAAAAAGCACCGGCUAACUACGUG